This 484-nucleotide long non-coding RNA is filed under the name Ursus maritimus (polar bear). RNAcentral describes it as "lncRNA (ENSUMAG00000003969.1)". The record is from RNAcentral. Lineage: Eukaryota; Metazoa; Chordata; Mammalia; Carnivora; Ursidae.
UCAUUUUUAUUAGUUUGAGUGCGUUUAGUUUUCAUAGCUUUUUGUGAUUUGAAAUUUCUUAAUGGAUUGUGCUAAAUAAAAUUGGAAAGUAGAUGUAAGAUAUCUUUACAGUGUCACACAGACAUGCGGACACUUACAUAUACCUACGUACAUAUACAAAUACAUGUGUCUUUCCAUGGUUGUUGUUGAUUUCCGUUUUUCUCUCUGUAGUGCCUCAAUGGUCCCAGUGAUGUAGGCUCAACUCCAGCUCCCUGUGUUUGUCCUCCGGGAAAACCAGGACUGCAAGGCCCCAAAGGUGAACCUGGACAGCCUGGGAACCCUGGCUACCCUGGACAAUCUGGUCAAGAUGGUAAGCCUGGAUAUCAGGGAAUUACAGGAUCACCAGGUGUCCCAGGAUCUCCGGGAAUACAAGGAGUUCCAGGACUACCAGGUUACAAAGGAGAACCAGGGAGAGAUGGUGAAAAGGGUGACCGUGGACUUCCUG